GCGGCAGCACGGGUACUUGUACCUGGUGGCGAGCGGCGGACGGGUGAGUAAUGCCUAGGAAUCUGCCUGGUAGUGGGGGAUAACGCUCGGAAACGGACGCUAAUACCGCNNNCGUCCUACGGGAGAAAGCAGGGGACCUUCGGGCCUUGCGCUAUCAGAUGAGCCUAGGUCGGAUUAGCUAGUUGGUGAGGUAAUGGCUCACCAAGGCGACGAUCCGUAACUGGUCUGAGAGGAUGAUCAGUCACACUGGAACUGAGACACGGUCCAGACUCCUACGGGAGGCAGCAGUGGGGAAUAUUGGACAAUGGGCGAAAGCCUGAUCCAGCCAUGCCGCGUGUGUGAAGAAGGUCUUCGGAUUGUAAAGCACUUUAAGUUGGGAGGAAGGGCAGUAAAUUAAUACUUUGCUGUUUUGACGUUACCGACAGAAUAAGCACCGGCUAAC
This 442-nucleotide ribosomal RNA is filed under the name Pseudomonas sp. Its description in RNAcentral is "bacterial SSU rRNA". It matches the Rfam family "Bacterial small subunit ribosomal RNA", at positions 66 to 501 of the family's 1533-position model. Lineage: Bacteria; Pseudomonadati; Pseudomonadota; Gammaproteobacteria; Pseudomonadales; Pseudomonadaceae. The record is from RNAcentral.